RNAcentral lists this long non-coding RNA (918 nucleotides) under Cricetulus griseus (Chinese hamster). RNAcentral's name for it is "lncRNA (ENSCGRG00015040149.1)". The record is from RNAcentral. Lineage: Eukaryota; Metazoa; Chordata; Mammalia; Rodentia; Cricetidae.
AAGAAAAAAAAAAAAAAAAAAAAAAAAAACCAACCCAGAAGGCAAAAGCUUCCCUCUCCUCCCCCAUUUGGAAAGUUUUCUCAGCAGAGGCCUGAGCACAUUCCUGACUUCUGGCUCAGGGAAGGACUUUCCCAACCUUCCAACAUUCCGGGCCCUCACUCACCCUGCUGACCUACCAAGAGUUCUGCUUGCUCCACCCCAAACAGCUGCAUUCCAGCUGUGGAGUUCUUAUGAAACUGCCAGGAAUCCUAGGGCUGCAAGGACUCGGUGAUACAAAUUUGGACUUCAAGGUCUGAAAGCCUGAGGCAGAAAGCUGGGCUACAGAGGGAGACCCUGUCUCAGCAAAAUGGAGCUAAGCAGGGUUGGGCCUGGUCAGGACACAGGAUGAGAGACUCCAUUCUCCAAAGAGAGGAGCCUUCUGCAGUCUUCCAUCAGCUCCAGGGCCUGGAAGUAAGUAUGAGGGAGAGGAAGAAAGUAAGUAUGGAGACGAUCAGGCCAAAUAGCUAUAUAGUAAAGUGUGUCUCUUCUUAUUCCCUUCUGCUGCUGCUCCCACUUCCAAAUAUUCCCCUUUGUUCUCCUUUUGUCCCACUUACCCAUGAACUUCCUAUUCUGGUCCUUUCAGAAUACAGUCUACAGCAUUACCCAUGCAAGCUAUACUUUCCCCCAGCCCUGACAGUAUCCCUUGAGCCCUUGAGACCCUAGAAGGAAAGCACCAGGAAAUCGUAAAAUAGUCUCUCUCCAGAAAACAAUGGCUUCCGAGGUCUGUGGCAGACACACUCACAACCCCAGAAAUAGUCUCAUUGUCCUCUUGUGCAAUAUCCAGGAAUUUGGUGAAACUCAUCAUUUUUCAGGUUACCGAUAAUGCAAGUUUGGAAAGUGAAACAGGAAGAACACAGGCUGAGAAAGCUUUUAUCCAGC